Non-coding RNA from Triticum aestivum (bread wheat), 124 nucleotides. The record is from Rfam. NCBI's taxonomy places the organism in Eukaryota, Viridiplantae, Streptophyta, Magnoliopsida, Poales, Poaceae.
UAAAUACUCCCUCCGUCCGGAAAUACUUGUCCGAAAAAUGGAUGCAUGUAGAUGUAUUUUAGUUCUAAAUACAUCCAUUUGUAUCCAUUUUCACAUAAGUAUUUCCGGACGGAGGGAGUACAAG